UGGGGAAUUUUGGACAAUGGGCGAAAGCCUGAUCCAGCCAUGCCGCGUGCGGGAAGAAGGCCUUCGGGUUGUAAACCGCUUUUGUCAGGGAAGAAACGCUCCGGGAUAAUACCCUGGGGUAAUGACGGUACCUGAAGAAUAAGCACCGGCUAACUACGUGCCAGCAGCCGCGGUAAUACGUAGGGUGCAAGCGUUAAUCGGAAUUACUGGGCGUAAAGCGUGCGCAGGCGGUCUUGCAAGACAGAUGUGAAAUCCCCGGGCUUAACCUGGGAACUGCAUUUGUGACUGCAAGGCUGGAGUACGGCAGAGGGGGAUGGAAUUCCGCGUGUAGCAGUGAAAUGCGUAGAUAUGCGGAGGAACACCGAUGGCGAAGGCAAUCCCCUGGGCCUGUACUGACGCUCAUGCACGAAAGCGUGGGGAGCAAACAGG
RNAcentral lists this ribosomal RNA (429 nucleotides) under uncultured bacterium. Its description in RNAcentral is "bacterial SSU rRNA". It matches the Rfam family "Bacterial small subunit ribosomal RNA", at positions 355 to 776 of the family's 1533-position model. The record is from RNAcentral.